This is a long non-coding RNA of Aedes albopictus (Asian tiger mosquito), 443 nucleotides long. RefSeq lists it as uncharacterized. The transcript has 3 exons. The record is from RefSeq and is a predicted model, not a curated record. Lineage: Eukaryota; Metazoa; Arthropoda; Insecta; Diptera; Culicidae.
ACUCACACCACAACAACAACAUUCUAGAUGAUGUACUACACACACUACAAGACACUAGUAGCAAGCACGGACAGCCAAGAAGCUGUCACGACUAAAAGCGUAGGCGAAAACUGUGCGAUUAUAACAAAUAGUUAAGCUCCAAACGACAGGCUUUUUAUAGCAAAAGCCACCCGCGAUACAGUGUCUUGCAAAAAUAUCGCCACACAUGCACCGAAGCGAGCGCCAUUUCAAAUUGAAUGGACAAUCAAAUGUAGAGCACUACCGUUCCGUACAAGAGAACAAAACUUCUAUUCCUUGAAAAUGGUAAAAUACAUUACCGAAACCGUCGGAAAUUGAAGCAAUAUUGUUCUUGCUGCUCUGAAAGACUGCCAAGGCCGGAAAACAUAACGUUUCUCUAGCUACAAUAUCCAGUCGUUAAGCAAUCCUUCCGUUGAAUAUUAUAG